RNAcentral lists this ribosomal RNA (253 nucleotides) under uncultured bacterium. RNAcentral's name for it is "partial 16S ribosomal RNA". It matches the Rfam family "Bacterial small subunit ribosomal RNA", at positions 524 to 776 of the family's 1533-position model. The record is from RNAcentral.
UACGGAGGGUGCAAGCGUUAUCCGGAUUCACUGGGUUUAAAGGGUGCGUAGGUGGGUUGGUAAGUCAGUGGUGAAAUCUCCAGGCUUAACUUGGAAACUGCCAUUGAUACUAUCAAUCUUGAAUACUGUGGAGGUAAGCGGAAUAUGUCAUGUAGCGGUGAAAUGCUUAGAUAUGACAUAGAACACCGAUAGCGAAGGCAGCUUGCUACACAGUCAUUGACACUGAGGCACGAAAGCGUGGGGAGCAAACAGG